AUCUGCUUCAAGCGCAGCCUGUGCGCGAGGAAGGAUGAGGCUUUGACCCGCUAGCGAGGGAGAAGAUGCGAUCUGGACGGUUAUUAUUUCGCGAAUCGAACGAUUGGGGCUUGACCGGCGGAACCUUUCGGCCGGCGCACCGGCGCCCAGUACUGGCCUUGAUGAAUAGUCUGCCGUUUAUUUUUCGUUGGUUUUAUUUCGUCCCAUCACUUUCGCUGAUUUUUUUUCGUCUCUUACCCCACGGCACCCCAUCCCACGCAGCCAAAAAAAACAACACCCAGCAAGAAAAAAAAACCAUGGACCCCAUCCUUCGUUGCCCUUUCCCAUCGAUCCCAUCUACCCCCGCCGCCGCCGUCCGAGGGGGAGACGACGCCGCCGCCGCCUCUGCAAGGCAGGGCGGUUUGAAUCCCGCCGCUGCCGAACUCCGGGAAACGCCCGACGGCGUACCCUGGAAGGCCUGGAUCAAGGAGGAGCACAGCGAUUUCGUGGCCGCGGCAUUGCGGCGCGGUGGCCGGGGGUCGCGGCGUCCCAUGUGGGUGCAGUGGUCACGGCAGCAGGCACACACGACGGUGGUCGCGCAUGGGGCUGCGCUGGUCUGUGACCACAUGGUGGCGGAAGAAGGUCGUCUUCCCAUAGCACUGCACGCUGGCCGCCAUCUCCAUCGGCGGCUGCACCAACAAGACAGACUGUAUAAUUCGGAUGGGUCUUCUUCUACAUGGUGACUAUUGACGCAAAGAAGGAUUGCACUUCGUUCCCAUCUUCUACAUAGCCUAUACGCGUGUUGUGCUAUUUCAGGAGGAAUAUGAAAAGGAGAUCAAUGACACCAGGUCCCACGAGCUCAUCUUUCUGAAUGGUGCCUUGCUAGGAUGACCCAAAUUAUGUUAGUGUCGGUACGUUUAGUUGGUGAUGGUUUAGCGGGAGCGAGAGCUGCAUCUGUAACUUACGUAACUUACCCAUUGGAUGUUGUUCGAACUCGCUUGGCAACACAGGAGGGUGAGGCAGUGUCAAAGCUACUUAGCAUUCUAAGAUUGUGAACCAGUAUAUGGGUUUGCACAUCUGAGUGCUGGUGAUCUUCUUCGCGAAGAAGUUAAAUGUGAUAUGGAGCAGAUUAAAAUUGACCAUGAGCUCGUACUAUUAAUUGAUGGCUCAAGGGAAGAGACAGCGGCAUAUUCUUAGUUGAAAUCAGUUUGAUGUUUUUCAGGAAUGAAUUCCACUCGUUAUUCAAUACCACUAUGAGAAAAGUAGUGAAAUGCUGGCCGUCUGCAAAAUGUACUGGUCCGUCUCGCGGUCUCACCCCAAAAACAGAGGAGAGGAGCAGGGAGCUCCUCCCUCACACUUGUCGGCUCCAAGGAGCCCCGCCACCAUGCAUGGAGAAGAGGAGCGCGAAGCUCCUUCGCGGUGUAAGGUUAUCUCCACGCCACUAAUAUCCAUUGUUGCAUCUUGUAAUUAUUACUCCCUCUGUUCCUUUAUAUAAGGUGUAUUUGUUUUUUGAUAAAAUUUCACAAUGUAAGGUGCAUUUGUUCUAAUUCCUCGUAAUUCCGAUUUUGGCCCUUCAGAAAAAGGAAAGUAUCUCUCCCCUGAUUGCUUGUAUCUCUCCUUGUAGAGAAAGAAAAGGAAACUAUAUCUCUCCUGAUUGCGUGUAUCUCUUUCUUUCCUAGCCUAAAUGAUUUAAUUGUCGUUAAUCUACGAAUUAGACAAGGGUAAUUUCGUCCUAAGUAGUCCAUAAUUCUGUGCCUUGGUUAACGUGCUGAAAAUAAUACACCUUAGAUAAAGGAAUGGAGGGAGUAAUUUGGAAUAAAUCAUGCAAUUGGCAUUUCUAUAUGUUUUACUCUGUCUUUUUUAUAGGCAAACCAAGGCUGCAACGUUUGAAUAUUAUACUCAGUCAGUUGCUCGACUACUUACAGUCCUAUUACUUGAGACUUAAUACUCGGCCAGCUGCCGUGUACAUUGUUCUGACAUAAAUGCCACCAUGUCUAUGCACAAGUCAGAAGGAACUUACCAUCUAAAAAGAUGUCUAAUUAGUGUGGUACAUGCUUCAGUACUGCAAGUUGGAGUAGCAAUGCCUACCUGCACAUUGAUGCUCAUACCUGACGGUGAGAGAAGUUGCAUCUUGAGAUUCAAUUCUUUGAUUUAUGAUGCCCAGCCAUAUGCACAAUGAGAACAUAUAUCCUUUUUACUAAUCUCUGUUUUUCUAAGUUGAAACUAUUUCUUUGUUACUUGGUGUGUGUGAAGUGCAAUCAUAGUCCUGUCACAAACUUGUUUGAGGACGGCAAAAGACUGGCCUUUUGCCGGACAGAGAAAAGACCGGCUUAUUUUAUUUUAACACAACAUAGCAAGCUCCAUAUAUUGCAGUUAGUACAUGGCAGGAUGCAGACUAUGUGCAGUAUUAGUGGUGUUUAGACUCCAAAAUGGCAGUAUUAGUGGUGUUUUAAAGAGAAAGAUUCGUAAAUGAUGUUGUUCUCUACUAAGAAAAUUCAGUAGUCGGUGUCACCAUUGAGUGCCAAUGUGAUGGGCAUUUAAGAUUUAGAUUCAGAACUCCUGGGUUCAACACAGAUGGCUUCACUUCAAUAUUUUUCCCCAUGUGGUUGAUGGAUGCGUACAUAUCUAUGUACACUGGUACAUAUCCAUCCAUUCAACUUCAGUUUUGAUGCAUCGUGUAUACUGAAUCCUACAUUAUGUUGAGAAAUUUAGAUAUAUAAAAGUAUCUGUAAGCCGACCACAUACCACACAUUUUAAAGGUUUAUUUUCUCUACAUCUGUACUAGCUUUGAACCAAGUAUUUCUACCUUCUUUUUAUUUGUUGCCAGAAAUUAAGGAAUGUCGAUCUGAUGUAUUUUUACAACAAUCAGCGUGUUGAUGUGGAGCUUGUCCAUUCGCGACAUAACUUGUUUAUGUGGGAUGGUUGGAUGAUUGAAAGUCGGACGUACCAUUAACGACGGUUGUGAGCAUGGAUUGGGGAGACGAAGAUUAUGGGAGCACAAGAAAGAAAAGAAGAAGAAAACACGUUGCGGAGUGUCGCGGCCUCCCAGUUCUUGGCCUCCGUCGGGUGGCUAGACCACGCCACAUAGAAGACGAGGGUUAUGUCAGUUAGGGGCCUCGGCAACGACGACGAGAAUGGCCAGGUCGAAAUCACAGGUGCGUGACGGCUGGAGACGGCCGCAGGGUCCAGAGAUGGGGCGCACGGCGGAUGUGUUCUACUUCCCAUUGAGAGAAUUCUGGUGGGUUUCUCUAAUAGUAUGCCAAACUAACUAACAAUUGUAGUUAACUAUACCGCAGCGGCGCACUUCUUAUUUUGGGAUUAAGCCUAAUGCUUGCUCUACCAAUCAAGUAGUACUGUUGUGAACUCAUAGGUAAAACCAUUCUCUAUCCAAUACAGUGUUAGCAUAGCUGAGCGUGAUUAGGAGGGCAUGAUUAUUACUUUGGAUUGCUUUACGUAGAUUGGCAUGGCUGAUCUUCCCUUCCAUUAUUAUUGCUACUUUAUGUUUUAAUUCCAUUUUUCUUUACUUGUUCGGAUCCAUGUUCCAGUGACUUCCUGAACUUUUACUUGUUGAUGGGAAGUUUCUAUUUUAAUUUUUCUUUCACUUUAUCUUCAGGUUUACAGGGUUAAUGGAUCCAUGUUUGAGUUUAUAGAAGUGUGUUUACUUAUCUAGCUUUCUGUUUUCAUUCUGUUUGAAAUCCAUCGACAUUUUCCAAAAUUCCCUUAUCAAUGCACGAGUUUCCUUUCUUAAUUAACAUGUGAAGUUCCUUGUUCAACAAUGAUUUUUAGGCCAAAUCAGAGGAUGCAGGUUGUACCAUUGAAGAGAGAAAAUUAUGAGAAAACUACAAUAUAUGAGAGGCUUGGUUGAUACCUUCAGAAAAGCUACAUCCCAAUAAUGUUGUGGGUUACACCUUCUGGCUUGAAAAUCAGCUUCAUAACAAGAAAGUUGCAACACUAUAUUGGUGGAUAAUUGCAUUAAAUAAAUGUUGUAAUGGUGCAUUUGUUUUUAGAUUUCUAUUAACCUGGUACCAAAAAGUUGGAGAGCAAGGACCUUAUAUCAGUGGUGUUUAUACUCCAAAAUUGCAGUAUCGGUGGUGUUUAUACUCCAAAAUUGCAGUAUCAGUGGUGUUUAGAUUCCAAAACCUAUCUAGAGUAAUCUGUCAUUUGUUCUUCAAAGAGAUUGCGUAUCUGUUACCCCAUGUCAGGUUCAGUACCUCUGGGUUCAAGAUCUAUAGCUACAAGUACUUUUGACUAGAUUGUGGUCAUAUAUGUGCUAAUUCAUGCUGAUACGCAUGCUCUUUGAACUUUUGAAAGGAAUGGAUGAAAUCAUCAUCAGAGCUUCUGCAAAUGGGAUCUCUCUUGUAAGCCCCGCUAUAGUUACUUCACUGGUCUGAACUUUGAGUAACUUGAUAUAUGUGUCUCCCAGACAAAAAUAUUUUUAUUUAUUAGUUGUAUACAUCGUAGGUUAAUACUCGUGGAUGUUGAAGAAGUUAAAUGCUAUGUACUCUUUAUUAGUUUGGUUUGAAAUGAAAAGGAUGGCAAGCUUCUUCAGUUUAUUAGUUUUUGUUUGAAAUGAGUUGUUUUUUAAAUUAAAGUUAUAUGGUCUAUAAUUAUUGCCGGGAAAAACAGAACCCCU
Molecule: ribosomal RNA, 4612 nt
Filed under: Triticum aestivum (bread wheat)
Lineage: Eukaryota; Viridiplantae; Streptophyta; Magnoliopsida; Poales; Poaceae
Description: partial small subunit ribosomal RNA
Source: RNAcentral